Molecule: ribosomal RNA, 345 nt
Filed under: uncultured bacterium
Lineage: Bacteria
Description: bacterial SSU rRNA
Rfam family: Bacterial small subunit ribosomal RNA
Source: RNAcentral
GAUGAACGCUGGCGGCGUGCCUAAUACAUGCAAGUCGUACGCACUGGCCCAACUGAUUGAUGGUGCUUGCACCUGAUUGACGAUGGAUCACCAGUGAGUGGCGGACGGGUGAGUAACACGUAGGUAACCUGCCCCGGAGCGGGGGAUAACAUUUGGAAACAGAUGCUAAUACCGCAUAACAACAAAAACCACAAUGGCUUUGUUUGAAAGAUGGCUUUGGCUAUCACUCUGGGAUGGACCUGCGGUGCAUUAGCUAGUUGGUAAGGUAACGGCUUACCAAGGCAAUGAUGCAUAGCCGAGUUGAGAGACUGAUCGGGUCACAAAUGGAACUGAGACACGGUCCAU